UACGUAGGGUGCGAGCGUUAAUCGGAAUUACUGGGCGUAAAGCGUGCGUAGGCGGUUUCAUAAGCUUGAUGUGAAAGCCCCGGGCUCAACCUGGGAAUGGCAUUGAGGACUGUGGAGCUAGAGUGCGGCAGAGGGAGGUGGAAUUCCACGUGUAGCAGUGAAAUGCGUAGAGAUGUGGAGGAACACCGAUGGCGAAGGCAGCCUCCUGGGCCGACACUGACGCUGAGGGCACGAAAGCGUGGGGAGCAAACAGGAUUAGAUACCCUGGUAGUCCACGCCCUAAACGAUGUCAACUGGUUGUUGGGGAAGGCAACUUCCUUAGUAACGAAGCUAACGCGUGAAGUUGACCGCCUGGGGAGUACGGCCGCAAGGUUAAA
RNAcentral lists this ribosomal RNA (377 nucleotides) under uncultured bacterium. Its description in RNAcentral is "bacterial SSU rRNA". It matches the Rfam family "Bacterial small subunit ribosomal RNA", at positions 524 to 898 of the family's 1533-position model. The record is from RNAcentral.